Molecule: ribosomal RNA, 805 nt
Filed under: uncultured crenarchaeote
Lineage: Archaea; Thermoproteati; Thermoproteota
Description: bacterial SSU rRNA
Rfam family: Archaeal small subunit ribosomal RNA
Source: RNAcentral
UACCCAGUUUUCCCAUGGCGAACUGCUCAGUAACACGUGAUCAACUUACCCUAAGGUGGGAAAUAACCUCGGGAAACUGAGGAUAAUAGCCCAUAAUUGAGAAUGUCUGGAACGAUUUUUCAAUGAAAGUGCAAUCAGAAUGGUGGUUGUUACGCCUUAGGAUAGGAUUGCGCCCGAUUAUGGCUGUUGGUGAGGUAACGGCUCACCAAACCUAUUAUCGGUAAGGGCCGUGAGAGCGGGAGCCCUGAGAUGGGUACUGAGACAAUGACCCAGGUCUUACGAGACGCAGCAGGCGCGAAAACUUCACAAUGCACGAAAGUGUGAUGAGGUUACCCGGAGUGCUACAAAGUAGCUGUGGUGGGUAAGUAAGAUUCCCCACUAGGAAGGAGAGGGCAAGGCUGGUGCCAGCCGCCGCGGUAAAACCAGCUCUUCAAGUGGUCGGGACUAUUAUUGGGCUUAAAGUGUCCGUAGCCGGUAUAGCAAGUUCUUGGUUAAAUCGGAUAGCUUAACUAUCUGCCAGCCAGGAAUACUACCAUACUAGGGGGCGGGAGAGGUUUGAGGUACUCCAGGGGUAGCGGUGAAAUGCGAUAAUCCUUGGGGGACCACCAGCGGCGAAGGCGUCAGACUGGAACGCGCCCGACGGUGAGGGACGAAAGCCAGGGGAGCGAACCGGAUUAGAUACCCGGGUAGUCCUGGCCGUAAACGAUGCGUGCUAGGUGUUGGUAUGGCUAUGAGCCGUAUCAGUGCCGUAGGGAAACCGAUAAGCGCGCCGCCUGGGGAGUACGGUCGCAAGAUUGAAACUUAA